CGUGGAAAUAUCACACGGGGAGGAGUGAGCCCUCAAAGAAACCCCAAAGCCGCUCGGGGGCUGCAUUGUUUAAAAAAAUAUGGAAGAGUAUCGAACUUGAUUUAAUUCCGGAGGAGGGAGAGAGGAGCGAGCAGCAGAAUGGGAAAGAGGCGGUUAGCGCAUGUGGCUUCCAGCAGCGACGAUGAACCAGACCAUCUCACUCCAAUUCCUCUCACAGCUCCUCCCGCCACUGUCACUGGCACCGGCACUGUCAGUAGCACCAAGGAGAAGGACAAGGGAGAAGAGCCAGGGGAAGAGGAGAAACAGAAAGAGGAGGGGGAAGAGGAUGAGGGCCCAGACUUGAGGCCACUCGGAGAAGUCAUUAAAAAGAGCGGUAGAGGUCGCAGCGAGAAGAAGCAUUACGCUGCAUUUGAUCUCGAUGGAAAUCGCUAUCAACUCGAAGACCCUGUAUUGGUAACUCCAGAAGAAAAAAAUGAGAAACCCUAUGUUGCUAUAAUAAAGGAGAUUAAACAAUCUAGAGAUGGUUCUAUUGCUAUUUUGGGGCAGUGGUUUUACCGGCCCGAGGAAGCUGAUAGAAAAGGUGGAGGCUACUGGCAAUCUCGUGAUACCCGUGAACUAUUUUAUAGUUUUCAUCAUGAUGAAGUUCCAGCUGAAUCAGUUAUGCAUAAGUGUGUUGCGCACUUUAUUCCACUAAACAAGCAGAUUCCACCUCGUUCAAAACAUCCAGGAUUUAUUGUGCAAAAAGUUUAUGAUACAGUUGAGAAAAAACUUUGGAAAUUAACUGAUAAGGACUAUGAAGAUUCCAAGCAGAAAGAAAUUGAUUUGCUUGUGCAGAAAACUCGAAAUGUUUUAGGAGAACUUCCUGAUGUUAUACCAGAUGAACUUGCAGCUGAUCAAGAAGAGCCUGAGAAGAACAAACGAAAUGUCCGAAGAAGAACCCUGGCACCUUUGAGUAUACAUAAGGAUGAAGAUGCAACUGGAAGAUCAGAACCAUUUGGAAAAGUAGAAACUCCAGGAAGUACUAUGCAUGAAGGGCAGGGUGGAAACUAUUCUGAGAUCUAUACUAUUUUAUUGAAUCAAAAUAUGCUAACUGGAGUGAGAUCACGGGAUAGAUGGCUAGAGAAAAUCAUCCAAGGAGUGAAACAUAUGUGCAGUGUAAAUGGACAAAUAAAUUCUAAAGACAAAAUGCAGGGGAAUACUGAAGCUAAACCCGUGUCGGCUGAGGAAGAAGCUCAAGAGCAGACUCAAAAGGCUGUAGAUCAAUCAGAUGGACUGCCAGAGAAAAUAACCGAAGACAGUAAGGUGGAGGAUAAUAUUGUGUGGCCUGAUGCAGCAGUGGAGGCAAUAGUUGCACUUGAAAAGGCUGCUUAUGAGAGUUUAGGUUCUGACAAUCACAAGUACAAUUUAAAAAUGCGGCAACUUGAAUUUAAUCUCAAGGGUAAUGCAAUACUAUCAAAACGUCUACUAAAGAAAGAGUUGGAAGCUUGCAUAGUUUUAAACAUGUCCCCUGCAGAAUUGAAGGAUGGGUUAACAACUGAGGAAAAAACUGCUCAAGAACCACAGGAGUUACAAACAAUGCAGAUGACAGAUGUUCGAUGUUCAAUUUGCACAGAGAAGAAGGUUGGUGUUAGAGAUAUCAUACAUGUUGGAUAUGGAGAUCGUUAUCAGUUGGAAUGCUUGAAGUGUGGCAAUUUAUGGUAUGCAUCGAGAGAUUCAAUCUCUUCGUUGACAAUAGAACCAGUAAAUCCUGUUAGUCCAGUUGGUACAGCACCUUUAGCAACCACAAAGUUCGAUGAAAUUGAAAAAGUGAUUGGUAGUUCUCGGGAAUCAGAGAAACCAGCAAAUGAAGAGAAUGUAAAGAAAGAAAUACCAGCAGGGAUACCUGUUAUAGAUCGUCAGAGUGCUGCUGGUGAUGUUGUCAUGGUACCCUCUGAUUCAAAGCCUUUGGAGACUAAAAAUACAAAAUCCUACUGAUAUUGCAGGAAAAAAAUUGUAUACAUUGUAGAAAUCAAGUUUUAUGGAAGUGUAACAAAAAGGUCCAAUAGCCAAAUUUGCACAAUUCCCACUUCAUUUAUGGUUACCUGAUGCAAAAUGGCUAUCUAGAAUGAAGUAAUCCCUUACACAAUUUUCUUUCUCCCACAAAAAAUAGCAAAGGUUGAGAUAGGCUCAAAAGCUCUUAUUAUUUGUAACAAAUGGUAUCUAAUUGGUUCAAUUUAUUAAUAUUUUGUUGCAUUUUCGUUGUGUUAUUUUUUUCUUAAUGACCAUUGAGAAACCAUAUGAAAUGAAUUUUUCUAAAAUUUUAUGUACGAUUUUGGAAUAGAAAUGAAAAUUGUGAUGUUCCUAUGAAUUAUAAUUAU
RNA transcript from Cryptomeria japonica (Japanese cedar), 2357 nucleotides. RefSeq lists it as uncharacterized. NCBI's taxonomy places the organism in Eukaryota, Viridiplantae, Streptophyta, Pinopsida, Cupressales, Cupressaceae. The record is from RefSeq and is a predicted model, not a curated record. The transcript has 9 exons.